Danio rerio (zebrafish) is the source of this 1744-nucleotide non-coding RNA. Lineage: Eukaryota; Metazoa; Chordata; Actinopteri; Cypriniformes; Danionidae. The record is from Ensembl.
CGAAUUUUACAAUGAGUGUUGACUAUUAUUGUGAUCCAUGUAUGUUGAUGCUUGUGAUAAGAAAGCUGGGCCUGAAUGCGUCAGCCGAAUACUAAUAUCUCCAGACUGCCAUUCCCUAUGAGACGCGUACGAGCGGCCUGCAUGCAUAGACUCUGUUACAUAAUUAAUGCAGUGUGCCUUCUCAUUCAGUUGAUUUGCCGACGCAUAUAGGUACAGACGCUUGGAAAAGGGCUACCUGUAACAGAAGUACCUCAUUCUAUCAUGCCAUCAUUUCCUGGCAUGACGAGAGUCAGAAGCCAAGAGGAGGAGCCCUGCUGGCUCACCUGAUGCUUGCUGUACCACCUAGGAGAUCUACGCCAUCCAAACCAAGCUCCAGGUGCAGUAUUGCCAUGCCAUCUCAAUGUCGGUAACCGUCUGGCCUCUCACCGGGGACAACACACUCCAUUUUGUUUUCACAUCCCUAUGGAUGCUUAAAAUGUUCGUUUUUAUUAGUAUUUCAGUAGUAUUCACUUCUCAUAUGUCUAGAAACAGCCACUUAAACUACAAACAGCCAAUGCAAAGUUCAUAACAGUGAACAAAAAACUGUAAAAAUUAUUUUAAAAAGCUGAAACAAUUUUAUGAUCAAUGACAUUACAAUAACAGUUGUGCUCUUUAAUAUUCUUUGUUCAACCUUGAUUUAUCCUUUCAGAGUUAUUUUAGGAACUGUAAGACUUAAAGAACUUGAAACGGAAAUGUUUUCCAACAUAAUAAAUGUCUUUGCUGUCACUUUUGAUCAAUGUAAUGCAUCCUAGUUGAGUAAAUGUUUCUUAAUGGCUUUAAAUGCACAGACCAAAACAACAACGUCUUAAAAACCUCUUUGAGAAAUGAGUUUAAAAACCUCUAUAUCCUCCAUAGCCAUGCUGUCUCUAAGUCAGUAACCGUCUGGCCCCUCACCAGGGACGACACACCUCGUUUUGUUUUCUCAUCCCUACGGACACUUUCAGCCUCAUUUCAUUAGUAUUUCAAUAGCCUUCACUAACCAUGUGUCCAAAAACUGCCACCCUGUAAAUGCUAAUUUGGUGAUCAUGCAACUUUACUUUAAUGAUUAACAAGUUUGCAAAAAGUUCAAAAGAACUGCAACUAUUCACAAUACAAAUGUUUUGUAACAUGAAUAUCUUUGCUGUUACUAAAGAUGAAUUGAGUAUUAAAUAUUAAUUUAUUUUAAACAAAUUUUAAUAAAGCCUGAAAAGAGAGUUUUAAAAACCCCAUGUAUUUGUGCCAUUUCUAAGUCAGUAACCGUCUGGCCUCUCACCAGGGACGACACACCUCAUUUUGUUUUCUCAUCCCUAUGGACACUUUCAGCCUCAUUUCAUUAGUAUUUCAAUAGCCUUCCCCUACCAUGUGUCCAAAAACGGCCACCUGAACAACUAUAGAAAUUAUUCUUACUUUGAUGAUUAUCAACUUUGCAAACAGUUCAAAAGAACUGCAAGUAUUUGCAAUACAAAUGUUUUGUAACCUAAGUGUAGUUGCUGUUACUAUAGAUGAAAUUAGACAUAAAAUAUCUUAAUAUCUCUUAAAUAAAAUUUUAAAGCCCAAAAAGAGAGUCUUAAAAGCCCAUGUAUUUGGGCCAUCUCUAAGUCAGUAACCGUCUGGCCUCUCACCAGGGACGACACACCUCAUUUUGUUUUCUCAUCCCUACGGACACUUUCAGCAUCAUUUCAUUAGUAUUUCAAUAGCCUUCACUAACCAUGUGUCCAAAAACUGC